RNAcentral lists this ribosomal RNA (543 nucleotides) under uncultured Sphingomonas sp. RNAcentral describes it as "bacterial SSU rRNA". It matches the Rfam family "Bacterial small subunit ribosomal RNA", at positions 10 to 599 of the family's 1533-position model. Lineage: Bacteria; Pseudomonadati; Pseudomonadota; Alphaproteobacteria; Sphingomonadales; Sphingomonadaceae. The record is from RNAcentral.
AGUUUGAUCCUGGCUCAGAACGAACGCUGGCGGCAUGCCUAACACAUGCAAGUCGGACGAAGGCUUCGGCCUUAGUGGCGCACGGGUGCGUAACGCGUGGGAAUCUGCCCUUGGGUUCGGAAUAACAGUGAGAAAUUACUGCUAAUACCGGAUGAUGACUUCGGUCCAAAGAUUUAUCGCCCAAGGAUGAGCCCGCGUAAGAUUAGCUAGUUGGUGAGGUAAAGGCUCACCAAGGCGACGAUCUUUAGCUGGUCUGAGAGGAUGAUCAGCCACACUGGGACUGAGACACGGCCCAGACUCCUACGGGAGGCAGCAGUGGGGAAUAUUGGACAAUGGGCGAAAGCCUGAUCCAGCAAUGCCGCGUGAGUGAUGAAGGCCUUAGGGUUGUAAAGCUCUUUUACCAGGGAUGAUAAUGACAGUACCUGGAGAAUAAGCUCCGGCUAACUCCGUGCCAGCUGCCGCGGUAAUACGGAGGGAGCUAGCGUUGUUCGGAAUUACUGGGCGUAAAGCGCACGUAGGCGGCCAUUCAAGUCAGAGUGGGAA